GCCUAGGUGGUGGAAUUGGUAGACACGCCAGAUUUAGGAUCUGGUAUCGCGAGGUGUGGGGGUUCGAGUCCCCCCCUGGGCACCA
This 85-nucleotide transfer RNA is filed under the name Opitutaceae bacterium. RNAcentral's name for it is "tRNA-Leu". It matches the Rfam family "tRNA". From Rfam's summary of the family: Transfer RNA (tRNA) molecules are approximately 80 nucleotides in length. Their secondary structure includes four short double-helical elements and three loops (D, anti-codon, and T loops). Further hydrogen bonds mediate the characteristic L-shaped molecular structure. tRNAs have two regions of fundamental functional importance: the anti-codon, which is responsible for specific mRNA codon recognition, and the 3' end, to which the tRNAs corresponding amino acid is attached (by aminoacyl-tRNA synthetases). tRNAs cope with the degeneracy of the genetic code in two manners: having more than one tRNA (with a specific anti-codon) for a particular amino acid; and 'wobble' base-pairing, i.e. permitting non-standard base-pairing at the 3rd anti-codon position. RNAcentral also lists the same sequence under 2 other names. The record is from RNAcentral. Lineage: Bacteria; Pseudomonadati; Verrucomicrobiota; Opitutia; Opitutales; Opitutaceae.